This 1011-nucleotide ribosomal RNA is filed under the name Triticum aestivum (bread wheat). RNAcentral describes it as "partial small subunit ribosomal RNA". The record is from RNAcentral. Lineage: Eukaryota; Viridiplantae; Streptophyta; Magnoliopsida; Poales; Poaceae.
AUGGGGUGCUCCCUCUCGGGGCUCAACGCCCUCUACGACGCAGCGACUGGCGGCGGCGACGUGUGGAUCAACGAGCGCCGCUUCCGCGUCCUCCGCCAGAUCGGCGAGGGCGGCUUCGCCUUCGUCUACCUCGUCAAGGAGCACGACGCCUCCUCCUACGCCGCGCGCGACAGGCACCCCUCCCACGUCUCAGACGACGGGACAUAUGCUAUGAAGAAGGUGCUGAUACAGAGCAGGGAGCAACUGGAUCUGGUGAAGGAGGAGAUCCGCGUUUCGUCCUUGUUCAACCACCCCAAUCUGCUACCGCUUCUUGACCAUGCCAUAAUAGCAGUUAAGAGUACACAGGGAGAUUGGAGCCAUGAAGCCUACUUACUCUUCCCAGUCCAUUUGGAUGGUACUCUGUUCGACAAUGCUGCAGUCAUGCAGUCAAGGAAAGAGUUUUAUUCGGUGGUCGAUGUUUUGCGAAUAUUCCAACAGAUUUGUGAAGGACUGAAGCACAUGCAUAGUCUUGAUCCACCAUAUGCCCAUAAUGAUGUCAAGCCUGGCAAUGUUCUUGUAACCUGCCGAAAAGGGCAAGCACCUCUUGCAACUUUGAUGGAUUUUGGAAGUUCGCGGCCUGCAAGAAAUCAAAUUCGUUCUCGUUCUGAAGCAUUACGGUUGCAGGAAUGGGCUGCUGAGCAUUGCUCUGCACCUUUUCGCGCACCUGAAUUGUGGGACUGCCCGAGUCAUGCUGAUAUUGAUGAGAGGACAGACAUUUGGUCGCUAGGUUGCACUCUUUACGCGAUCAUGUAUGGUGUUUCUCCCUUUGAGUAUGCUCUUGGUGAAUCUGGAGGAAGCUUGCAGCUGGCCAUUAUGAACGCACAGUUGAAGUGGCCAGCGCUACCGAGCACCUACCCUGACGCACUUCACAAGUUUGUUACCUGGAUGCUUCAGCCACAGCCUGAGAUGCGCCCUCGCAUCAAUGACAUACUUCUCCACGUUGACAAGCUUGUGGAGAAAUACUCGCCUUAA